Dendroctonus ponderosae (mountain pine beetle) is the source of this 562-nucleotide long non-coding RNA. RefSeq lists it as uncharacterized. NCBI's taxonomy places the organism in Eukaryota, Metazoa, Arthropoda, Insecta, Coleoptera, Curculionidae. The record is from RefSeq and is a predicted model, not a curated record. The transcript has 2 exons.
AUAACAAAAAUAGUUGCGAAACAUCAAAAUCAUUAUCGCUUUUGGGGCGGUUCCUCAAAAUAGGUAUAUCAAAUAGCCCGCAGAAUAGAACCGUCUCCAAAUAGUCUCAUCAUCAAUGAAUCAAUCUAGGCGAAAUGGCCCCCAUUUAAUGUCUAUUUCCAGAAUCAGCGUAACUGAACAAUUCCAUAUGAUGACUUGAACUGUUCAACAAAGGAUGCCAAUGUUAUUUAAACACAUUAAUAAACAAAUAUGUUUUGACAUUUGCACUGCGUACUUUCGAGAGUUUUUAAGUGUUGGCUGUUUCGUAACUAAGCCCUAAAGGCUGGCGAAGCCUCGCGCAUUGAUUUACCAAUUCCUUGUUGCCCCCUUAACGUUUUUGAUGACUUGCCUAUGUGUCAUACAAAUACAUAACAUUGUCCAAUUAAGCCAUUUUCUUUUCUUCGUUCUAGACUCACCUUUGAACAAGUAGUCGUACUCAUCAUCCUUUGUACUCAUCCUGAUGCUGUUUAAUAGUCUUUGGGGGCACUUACAAGAUAAUCAAAAUUGUAUUUACAAACUAUUG